GUCCACGCCGUAAACGUUGGGCACUAGGUGUGGGACUCUAUCGACGGGUUCCGUGCCGUAGCUAACGCAUUAAGUGCCCCGCCUGGGGAGUACGGCCGCAAGGCUAAAACUCAAAGGAAUUGACGGGGGCCCGCACAAGCGGCGGAGCAUGUGGCUUAAUUCGAUGCAACCCGAAGAACCUUACCUGGGCUGAACUAUGCGGGAAAAGCCAUGGAAACAUGGUGUCCGUAAGGGUCCGCGAUAGGUGGUGCAUGGCUGUCGU
RNAcentral lists this ribosomal RNA (262 nucleotides) under uncultured bacterium. RNAcentral describes it as "partial 16S ribosomal RNA". It matches the Rfam family "Bacterial small subunit ribosomal RNA", at positions 793 to 1055 of the family's 1533-position model. The record is from RNAcentral.